Molecule: long non-coding RNA, 1441 nt
Filed under: Oryza sativa Indica Group (long-grained rice)
Lineage: Eukaryota; Viridiplantae; Streptophyta; Magnoliopsida; Poales; Poaceae
Description: lncRNA OsMH63_11G023650
Source: RNAcentral
AUGACCGAGAUCCAGCACUCCGACCUGGGGGAGAAGGCGAGCCUCGUCGCAGCGGCGGCGGCGGCCGGGGAGGAGCACGAGCGCCACACCAGCGACCUCCUCCGCCGCCGCGCCAUCCGCCUCCGCCGCGCCGAGCUGAGCAAGCUCGGCGAGGACCCGGAGAGGGACCGCAGGGACCGGGAGGCCACGCUGAUCAUGCUCACACUCCUCCUCGCGCUGGCGAUGCCGAUCCUCCUCUGGCUCUCCGCCGGCGAGGCGCCGGCGCCGCUCCUCGUGUGGAGGCUCUCCCUCCUCCUCUCCACCUACUUCUUCCUCUGCGCCAACGUCCUCUUCGUCACCAAGAGCUUCUGCGCCAUCGUCGUCGACGUCUACUUCGGCGCCCUGCUCGCCUACUACGCCGACCACGUCUUCGGCACAAGAAUCGGGACGGUCACAAUCUACCUCAACUCCAUCUUCACCGCGGCCUUCGCCGGCUACGCCCUCGCUGAGCGCCGCCGGAGCGACGGCACCGAGCAAUCCGCCGACAACGUCCCCGCCUUCGCCGACGAGGAGGAGGAGGAGUACGCACGCGCCGUGCUCAUCUCGUCGGCGGCGGUGAUCUCCAUUACUUUGCUUUUUCCUACCGCCUAUGUUUCUUGGAUGAUUUUGUGGCCGUACGCCACCACUGAUGAUGAUGGUUUCCGUGUGGAGGAUGUUCUGCGUGAUCUUUCUUAUACCAUCUUGGCUUAUCUCUUCUUCGCGACCACUUUGGUCACGCGGCACCUCUUGCGAGGGGCUCUUCUUGGAGAUGGGAGAUUUUACGUUUUUCUCGUCGUGUUCUCCAUCAUCACAGUUUUACCUUUGUUUUUCGCUGGUAUUUUCGGCGAUAUUGCUGGGAUCGUCGUGAUUUGGCUCGGUAUUAUAGCGCUCGCUGUCUUGUUUGGAUAUUCCGUCAGCAUUUACUCUUACUACACCCAGAUUCAGACGAUGAGGAGCAGCCAGCCACCGUCUGAGAAGGCGGAUGCAGCGAAGCAAGAGCUUGAUGAGAUCAGCGGGGAUAAGCUGGAGCACUCAUCUUCCCCAGCAGCAUCAACCCACGUUCACAGCAACCCGCAUUCAUCUGCAUCCUCGUCAGCUGAGGGCGUAGCGCCGACGCCUGCACCGGAGUACCUACUACCAGUAGCCAGGAAAGCUGAGAAGAACACCCAUCUAUCCAAGGUUGCUUUUGGUGUUACGAAGAAUUGGACGAGAGUGUUCGACUGUUUUGGAGGUGAAACACUGGUGAUCGACAUGGGCUCAUCAUAUCUCAAGACCUGUAUGUUCGUGUUCGUGCUGGGGAUUAACAAGGAUACCAUUUUCGUCAUCUAUGACACUAUUUUGUGCCUGUUUACUGCAAGAGGAGCUAGUGACUGCUGUGAAAAGCGCAUAUCAGUGCUAAGAAUCUGUCAUUGAUUAAACGACA